GCUGCAUUUGACAAAUACAAGUACAGAGCCUUUUGGAGAGGUGCCGUGUGACAGGGAGGCUGUCGGAGGCAGAAAUGUUUGCAUGGGAUGGAGACUGCAACUACCGUAACUGUCCCUGUGGCAAGAACACCCACAGAAACAGGUCUCAACUCUGGCCAGAUCUUCGUGAUUUUUGGAUGGCGUGACUUGAAGUGGCACUUUUUGGCAGGAAUCACAUAG
This 219-nucleotide long non-coding RNA is filed under the name Cyanistes caeruleus (blue tit). RNAcentral's name for it is "lncRNA (ENSCCEG00000003370.1)". The record is from RNAcentral. Lineage: Eukaryota; Metazoa; Chordata; Aves; Passeriformes; Paridae.